CUAAAUAACUGGUCUUAAGGUAAAUCACUCUACCGAAAACAUCCGGGCAGAUAUGUCUUAUAUGAGGUAGAAACUUUACCGUAUCAAUAAGAUCUCUAGGUGAAGGAAGGAUAGCUCCAGAAUGAUAGUAAUCAAUCCCUAAACCACCUCCAAUGUUCAGGUAAUCAAUUUCAAAUCCUUGCGAUCGAAUCUCGGUGAUCUUUCGGGUUCAAUAAUGAGAUUAAGUUUUCGUGAGAGGACCAAUUCUCGCACCUGCGGUACACAUGAAAGGCGCAAGUGUCAACUAAAUCACAGGUGAGGCCCACAGUUUGAGCAGUAGCUUUAACUGCCACUACUACUAAGAACUGGUUUUAAGGCAAAUUACUCUACUGAAAACAUCCGGGCAGAUGUCAUAUGUCUUAUAUGAGGUAGAAACUUUACCGUAUCAAUAAGAUCUCUAGGUGAAGGAAGGAAAGCUCCAGAAUGAUAGUAAUCAAUCCCUAAACCACCUCCAAUGUUCAGGUAAUCAAUUUCAAAUCCUUGGCAUCAGAUUUCGUCAAUGUAGUUCACCAUCAAGACAGCUGCAUCUCGAAAAAUGUCGACCUGGAAAAGACAACAAAACUUGAAACCCUGUAGAUGGCAGAGAAAUUACAAGGAGGGAGUCUGAUAUGCAAAUGGAAUGACAGCCCAAUUUUGCAUUUUUCCCCUUCAAAUAUUUUUCUUAUGCCUUCAAGCAUUCAAAAAGUAAGAGAAAGAACAAGAGAGGCAAAUGGGAGAUGGGGAGUAUUAAUGAAUAAGUGUAAAUGAAGUUAAAUUUGAGUCGUAUCUUAUAGUGCUGAGUAGAUGGCAACAAGGAAACGCCAGCCACCAAAUAAAUGACACCCGAUAAAGCAUUAGAACUUAGAAGAUAGGUCAUGAGUAAUAUUUCCCAUUAACAACAGAUACUAAACAGC
RNAcentral lists this long non-coding RNA (932 nucleotides) under Nicotiana benthamiana. Its description in RNAcentral is "long non-coding RNA (NBEN_LNC023382)". Lineage: Eukaryota; Viridiplantae; Streptophyta; Magnoliopsida; Solanales; Solanaceae. The record is from RNAcentral.